UGGGGAAUAUUGGACAAUGGGCGCAAGCCUGAUCCAGCCAUACCGCGUGGGUGAAGAAGGCCUUCGGGUUGUAAAGCCCUUUUGUUGGGAAAGAAAUCCAGCUGGCUAAUACCCGGUUGGGAUGACGGUACCCAAAGAAUAAGCACCGGCUAACUUCGUGCCAGCAGCCGCGGUAAUACGAAGGGUGCAAGCGUUACUCGGAAUUACUGGGCGUAAAGCGUGCGUAGGUGGUCGUUUAAGUCCGUUGUGAAAGCCCUGGGCUCAACCUGGGAACUGCAGUGGAUACUGGGCGACUAGAGUGUGGUAGAGGGUAGCGGAAUUCCUGGUGUAGCAGUGAAAUGCGUAGAGAUCAGGAGGAACAUCCAUGGCGAAAGGCAGCUACCUGGACCAACACUGACACUGAGGCACGAAAGCGUGGGG
This 420-nucleotide ribosomal RNA is filed under the name uncultured bacterium. RNAcentral's name for it is "bacterial SSU rRNA". It matches the Rfam family "Bacterial small subunit ribosomal RNA", at positions 355 to 766 of the family's 1533-position model. The record is from RNAcentral.